Molecule: long non-coding RNA, 652 nt
Organism: Nyctereutes procyonoides (raccoon dog)
Lineage: Eukaryota; Metazoa; Chordata; Mammalia; Carnivora; Canidae
Exons: 3
Source: RefSeq, a predicted model, not a curated record
GAAAAUUGGCAACAGGGAUUUUUGUCAUUUUCUUUAGAAUUUAAAAGAUAAAAAGACUGAUAUUUGUAUUUAUGCAAGUGUCAGUGAUUACCAAGGGACAGUUUGGAGAACAAAGAAGAAGAAAGCAAGGAGGGAGAGGAAAACAUGAAACCAAGGCAGAAGGAUUUGGGAGGCAUGAGGGCAGCCUGAAAGAGCACGUCAAAGCCAACAGAAGAGAGAAUCAGGUAUUCCUGGGAUUUUUCAAUUCUGUACCAUUGGUCAUAGGCCAAAGGUAGAACUAAAAGUAAUCAAGCCUCUUGUUUUCAUUCUGGGGCUUCAUUCUCUGGAUUGAACAGCUACAGGAAGCAAGGAAGUCUCAUCUGUCCAUUCAACAGUUGCCACUAUCCUGGACUGGCCAACCACUGUUUUUUUGGGACAAUUGCAAUGACCUCUAAAUACACCUCCUGGCAUCUCUUGUUCUCCUCAAAUUUAUUUUUAUUUUCUUUAUUAUAGCCAGAACAGUAUUUUUUAGACCCAAAUGUGUCACUAGUUGCUUAAAACACCUCAAGGGUUUCCCACUGCCCAAAGAUAAAAGGUUAACUUCUUGGGACAACUUGAGAGGUCAUUUUUUUUUUUAAAUUCCAUUUAUUUAUCCGUGAGAGAUACUGCAAGA